Molecule: long non-coding RNA, 1940 nt
Organism: Xiphophorus hellerii (green swordtail)
Lineage: Eukaryota; Metazoa; Chordata; Actinopteri; Cyprinodontiformes; Poeciliidae
Exons: 2
Source: RefSeq, a predicted model, not a curated record
GAUCCGCGUCCUGCGCGGAGUCGCUGACCGUGAUGUAAACACGGAGGCAAAAGGCAUUGCUCAAUUCCGUAUUUAAUCAGUCUCCCACCAAACACCUUGUCAGUAUUUGCUGGUGCAAGAUAUUUCCUCCUAAGGCUGCUGUGAUGUGCUGAAACAAUAAACAUGGUGAUGACUCUGGGACUUCCAACGCAGAACAAAAAGCAAGAGCCAGAGGAUACAGGAAAUGUCACCCAUUACUUCAUCCUGCAGGGCAGCAAACUGCACACUUUGUUUUCUUAUCAUGCCAACCGCAGAGACCAUUUAGAACCAUUUUUCCCAAUUGAACAAGGCCAAGGGAUUGAGCAGAGGGGAGAUGUGAAAGAGUAACCCACAGUUUGAGGUCCCAUGUUGACACAAGCACUCAGCAUACACCUCACCCUGCUAAGGUACAGGGAUUGUUCAGUCUGGUAGUAAAGAAACUGCAGCAAAAUGUAUUAACAGAAAAUCCCCUUUUGGUUUAAAAAGUAUCAGCAUCUACGGUCUCCUCUUAGUUUAAAACAUGCAGAUUAUUUCUUCUAAAUAAAAAAAACUGUCACAAAUAUGUGUUUUCUUUGACCCCAGCAGUCAAAAAUGUAAUAUUUCUAAACAGAAAAUCUGAAUUCUUGAUUUUAUUUCAAAACUAUGUGACAGAUUAUUAAGCAUCUCCGCCCCAGGGAGUGAUGAAAUCACAUGAUGAUAACUUUAAAUGCACAGCUGAACUUGAACUGUUUUUUAAAUCACUUUAUAAAUAUACAUACCUAUGACAAAAACAUAAAUAAAUUCACAGUAAAUAUUAAUUUUGUGAUAUAGGCAGGAAAUACUAUAUAUCACAAUGAAUUAUCAGAAUGAAUUAUAAAAUCGCAUGGACUGAAAAGCCUCCUCACAGUGACUGUUUUUCUGCUUUUUGAUGCACAGCCAACCACAUCUACUUCAGUGACAGCACAAAAUGGCUGCAGCCACCUCAGCCAUAGAAAAAGCAAGAACUCACACAGUGCAAACAAUAGUAACAAGUCUGCAACAUUCUGCAUCUCCAUCUUAAACGUUUAAAAACAAAUAACAACUCACCCACACAUUCAGCUUCUGUCGGAGAGGCACUUUUUAAGGAAACUGGUGAAUAAGGGGGAAGCAAUUUCACUGCGAGGCUUGGGGAAUUCCCGUAACCCAGUAAAAUGGCCUGACACUGCAGGCUCAGCCUGAACAGAACCUGGUGUGUGUCCAACUGUUCGGCCUCCCUUUUGACUGAGUAAAGCAACACACAAGCAAACAAGUAUGAACAUUUAAAUCCCUUUUAUUGGAACUUUAUUGCCGCUGCUAUCUUGGAUGCCCGUGGAGAAACCUGAAAAAUGCAGAACCUCCUGGAACGUAUGACACAUUUUCUUCUGAGAACAGCGUUCGGCAUUCUAAGCUGUUCGUUUUUCAGUAAUAAAUGUUUAUGUGCACGAUAUGGCAUGCAAGCAUGCAGUAAAGGGUAUGGCCCCUUUUGCGUGAUCGUAUCGUGAUGCCAUCACAGCUAUCAAAGCUGCAGAUAAAAAGUAAACAGCUAUGCACCACCAAUAGCUUUCCCUGAGGACAUAAGGGCUUUUAUAAUAUUAAACUACAAUCUGUCUAAUUCAUGCAACACAUGCAGUGCCAAAAGGAAAAAAAACAAAAAACUUCCCCUUCAAUCAAAAGGGAAAUUCAACAACAAUGCAGAUAUUGAUAUAUUGAUAGUGCUAUUGAAGUUAUCUUAUAAUCUCUUGUAAUUAUCAUCAAAUGGAACAAUUUUAUUUUGGGUGUGCCAUUAAAACCAAAGUGUCUGACUUGCUCUUUAUUUGUUGCCUUGGAUUUUGGCGUACUGCAGGGGAUUUCCUCGCCACAUACGUCUUUUUUUUCUGCUUUCCUCUUUUAACUGAAAAUGGCUUGACAACAGCUGCGCUCACACA